This 257-nucleotide long non-coding RNA is filed under the name Elaeis guineensis (African oil palm). Its description in RNAcentral is "long non-coding RNA (EGUI_LNC014351)". Lineage: Eukaryota; Viridiplantae; Streptophyta; Magnoliopsida; Arecales; Arecaceae. The record is from RNAcentral.
AUCUUAAUAAAAAUAUAAAAAAAUAAUAAUAAUAAAAAUAUGAAGUCAAGAAAGCAAGAUCUUAUUCCUUCAUGAUUGAUGACUCUCUUUUGUCACUCUUUCUAGACCAACUGGUCGGUCAACAUAAUGUAUCAAUGAAAUUAAGAAAAGCAAUAAUUUCAAAAUAAAUUUAUGAUAUCUAAUCUAAUAUAUAUAUAUAUAUUAAAAUAGAGGCCUUCCAAUAGAAAAGCACCAUUUGCUGCAUGGGGUGUUGGGAC